This 272-nucleotide ribosomal RNA is filed under the name uncultured bacterium. RNAcentral describes it as "partial 16S ribosomal RNA". It matches the Rfam family "Bacterial small subunit ribosomal RNA", at positions 68 to 339 of the family's 1533-position model. The record is from RNAcentral.
UCGAAAGCUUGCUUUUGAUGGGCGUCGACCGGCGCACGGGUGAGUAACGCGUAUCCAACCUGCCCACCACUUGGGGAUAACCUUGCGAAAGUAAGACUAAUACCCAAUGAUAUCUCUAGAAGACAUCUGAAAGAGAUUAAAGAUUUAUCGGUGAUGGAUGGGGAUUGCGUCUGAUUAGCUAGUUGGAGGGGUAACGGCCCACCAAGGCGAUGAUCAGUAGCCGGUCUGAGAGGAAGGUCCCCACAAUGGAACUGAGACACGGUCCAUACUCC